This 461-nucleotide ribosomal RNA is filed under the name uncultured bacterium. RNAcentral's name for it is "bacterial SSU rRNA". It matches the Rfam family "Bacterial small subunit ribosomal RNA", at positions 27 to 507 of the family's 1533-position model. The record is from RNAcentral.
GGACGAACGCUGGCGGCGUGCCUAACACAUGCAAGUCGAACGGGGUAAUUCUUCGGAGAUUACUUGGUGGCGAACGGGUGAGUAACGCGUGAGAAACCUGCCUUUCAGUGGGGGACAACAGUUGGAAACGACUGCUAAUACCGCAUAAUGUUAUUUGGGGGCAUCCUCGAAUAACCAAAGCUUAAUGUGCUGAAAGAUGGUCUCGCGUCUGAUUAGCUAGAUGGCGGGGUAACGGCCCACCAUGGCGACGAUCAGUAGCCGGUCUGAGAGGAUGAACGGCCACAUUGGGACUGAGAUACGGCCCAGACUCCUACGGGAGGCAGCAGUGGGGAAUAUUGCACAAUGGGGGAAACCCUGAUGCAGCGACGCCGCGUGAGUGAAGAAGUAUUUCGGUAUGUAAAGCUCUAUCAGCAAGGAAGAAAAUGACGGUACUUGACUAAGAAGCCCCGGCUAACUACGUG